UAGGGAAUCUUCCGCAAUGGACGAAAGUCUGACGGAGCAACGCCGCGUGAGUGAAGAAGGAUUUCGGUUCGUAAAACUCUGUUGUUAGGGAAGAAAAAAUGUAUAGUAACUAUAUACAAAAGAGACGGUACCUAACCAGAAAGCCACGGCUAACUACGUGCCAGCAGCCGCGGUAAUACGUAGGUGGCAAGCGUUGUCCGGAAUUAUUGGGCGUAAAGCGCGCGCAGGUGGUUUAGAAAGUCUGAUGUGAAAGCCCCCGGCUCAACCGUGGAGGGUCAUUGGAAACUAAUAAACUUGAGUGCAGGAGAGAAAGGUGGAAUUCCUAGUGUAGCGGUGAAAUGCGUAGAGAUUAGGAGGAACACCGGUGGCGAAAGCGGCUUUUUGGCCUGCAACUGACACUGAGGCGCGAAAGCGUGGGGAGCAAACAGG
RNAcentral lists this ribosomal RNA (429 nucleotides) under Verrucomicrobiota bacterium. Its description in RNAcentral is "Verrucomicrobia bacterium partial 16S ribosomal RNA". It matches the Rfam family "Bacterial small subunit ribosomal RNA", at positions 355 to 776 of the family's 1533-position model. Lineage: Bacteria; Pseudomonadati; Verrucomicrobiota. The record is from RNAcentral.